GAUGAACGCUGGCGGCGUGCUUAACACAUGCAAGUCGAACGGAAAGGCCCAAGCUUGCUUGGGUACUCGAGUGGCGAACGGGUGAGUAACACGUGGGUGAUCUGCCCUGCACUUCGGGAUAAGCCUGGGAAACUGGGUCUAAUACCGGAUAGGACCACUUCUUGGAUGUUGUGGUGGAAAGUUUUUUCGGUGUGGGAUGAGCUCGCGGCCUAUCAGCUUGUUGGUGGGGUAAUGGCCUACCAAGGCGUCGACGGGUAGCCGGCCUGAGAGGGUGUACGGCGACAUUGGGACUGAGAUACGGCCCAGACGCCUACGGGAGGCAGCAGUGGGGAAUAUUGCACAAUGGGCGCAAGCCUGAUGCAGCGACGCCGCGUGGGGGAUGACGGACUUCGGGUUGUAAACUCCUUUCGCUAGGGACGAAGCGUUUUGUGACGGUACCUGGAGAAGAAGCACCGGCUAACUACGUG
RNAcentral lists this ribosomal RNA (467 nucleotides) under uncultured bacterium. RNAcentral's name for it is "partial 16S ribosomal RNA". It matches the Rfam family "Bacterial small subunit ribosomal RNA", at positions 28 to 507 of the family's 1533-position model. The record is from RNAcentral.